This 259-nucleotide ribosomal RNA is filed under the name uncultured prokaryote. Its description in RNAcentral is "partial 16S ribosomal RNA". It matches the Rfam family "Bacterial small subunit ribosomal RNA", at positions 524 to 782 of the family's 1533-position model. The record is from RNAcentral.
UACGGAGGAUCCGAGCGUUAUCCGGAUUUAUUGGGUUUAAAGGGUGCGCAGGCGGGAGAUUAAGUCGGUGGUGAAAUUUUGCAGCUUAACUGUAACAGUGCCAUUGAUACUGGUUUUCUUGAGUGUGGAUGAAGUAGGCGGAAUUUGUGGUGUAGCGGUGAAAUGCAUAGAUAUCACGAGGAACUCCGAUCGCGUAGGCAGCUUACUAAACCAUAACUGACGCUCAUGCACGAAGGCGUGGGGAUCAAACAGGAUUAGA